AGUGAACGCUGGCGGCAUGCUUUACACAUGCAAGUCGAACGGUAACAGGCCGCAAGGUGCUGACGAGUGGCGAACGGGUGAGUAAUGCAUCGGAACGUGCCCAGUCGUGGGGGAUAACGCAGCGAAAGCUGUGCUAAUACCGCAUACGAUCUAUGGAUGAAAGCGGGGGACCGUAAGGCCUCGCGCGAUUGGAGCGGCCGAUGUCAGAUUAGCUAGUUGGUGGGGUAAAGGCCCACCAAGGCGACGAUCUGUAGCUGGUCUGAGAGGACGACCGGCCACACUGGGACGGGGACACGGCCCAGACUCCUACGGGAGGCAGCAGUGGGGAAUUUUGGACAAUGGGCGCAAGCCUGAUCCAGCAAUGCCGCGUGCAGGAAGAAGGCCUUCGGGUUGUAAACUGCUUUUGUACGGAACGAAACGGCCUGGGUUAAUACCCUGGGCUAAUGACGGUACCGUAAGAAUAAGCACCGGCUAACUACGUGCCAGCCGCCGCCGUAA
RNAcentral lists this ribosomal RNA (498 nucleotides) under uncultured bacterium. RNAcentral describes it as "partial 16S ribosomal RNA". It matches the Rfam family "Bacterial small subunit ribosomal RNA", at positions 29 to 523 of the family's 1533-position model. The record is from RNAcentral.